UCGAUCGUAUUUCUGCAGUAUUUACAGUGUUUUGAUAGUCUUUAGCUCACUUAGCAGCUUGGAUGAGGGAGGAGUGCUAGUUGAGAGAACCAACAAUCCAAGAAAAAGGAAGCGUAAUGAAAAAUAAUGGGCCAAAAACCAGAACAAGAAAGAUCAUAACACCGCUCCUGGGAAGCAACCAGCCAUUGGAUGCCAGCACAUGCCUCACAGCUUUUGUAAGGUGUCUUUGCUAACAGAAGGAGACAUCACAGAUACUUUCCAGGACUGCUACAGAGACUCGAACAACCGCGGCAAGAUUAAUUCAUCAUGUGCCACUUACAACUCAAUCCAGUCAUGCGCCAUCAAGGAAAUGGUCCACAACCAAGGAGAGAGCGGAACUAUGCUCCAACAUUUCAAAUAACGACACAGCAAGGGGAAAAUGUGGAGGUGUGCUCCGGAAGAUUCAGAUCCAUCCUUGUACUGGUAGGAAACGUCUGGG
Strongylocentrotus purpuratus (purple sea urchin) is the source of this 478-nucleotide long non-coding RNA. RefSeq lists it as uncharacterized. The transcript has 3 exons. The record is from RefSeq and is a predicted model, not a curated record. NCBI's taxonomy places the organism in Eukaryota, Metazoa, Echinodermata, Echinoidea, Camarodonta, Strongylocentrotidae.